Molecule: ribosomal RNA, 492 nt
Filed under: uncultured bacterium
Lineage: Bacteria
Description: partial 16S ribosomal RNA
Rfam family: Bacterial small subunit ribosomal RNA
Source: RNAcentral
AGUGAACGCUGGCGGUAGGCCUAACACAUGCAAGUCGAACGGUAGCACAGUAAGAGCUUGCUCUUACGGGUGGCGAGUGGCGGACGGGUGAGGAAUACAUCGGAAUCUACUUUUUCGUGGGGGAUAACGUAGGGAAACUUACGCUAAUACCGCAUACGACCUACGGGUGAAAGCAGGGGAUCUUCGGACCUUGCGCGAUUGAAUGAGCCGAUGUCGGAUUAGCUAGUUGGCGGGGUAAAGGCCCACCAAGGCGACGAUCCGUAGCUGGUCUGAGAGGAUGAUCAGCCACACUGGAACUGGGACACGGUCCAGACUCCUACGGGAGGCAGCAGUGGGGAAUAUUGGACAAUGGGCGCAAGCCUGAUCCAGCCAUACCGCGUGGGUGAAGAAGGCCUUCGGGUUGUAAAGCCCUUUUGUUGGGAAAGAAAAGCAGCAGGUUAAUACCCCGCUGUUCUGACGGUACCCAAAGAAUAAGCACCGGCUAACUUCGUG